GAUGAAGAACGCAGCGAAAUGCGAUAACUAAUGUGAAUUGCAGAAUUCCGUGAAUCAUCGAGUCUUUGAACGCACAUUGCGCCCCCUGGUAUUCCGGGGGGCAUGCCUGUCCGAGCGUCAUUGCUGCCCAUCAAGCACGGCUUGUGUGUUGGGUCCUCGUCCCCCCGGGGGGACGUGCCCGAAAGGCAGCGGCGGCACCGCGUCCGGUCCUCGAGCGUAUGGGGCUUUGUCACCCGCUCUGCAGGCCCGGCCGGCGCUGGCCGACGCGAAAGCAACCAUUUUUUCUCCAGGUUGACCUCGGAUCAGGUAGGGAUACCCGCUGAACUUAAGCAUAUCAAUAAGCGGAGGA
RNAcentral lists this unclassified non-coding RNA (349 nucleotides) under soil metagenome. RNAcentral's name for it is "partial contains 5.8S ribosomal RNA, internal transcribed spacer 2, and large subunit ribosomal RNA". The stretch from base 1 to 120 matches the Rfam family "5.8S ribosomal RNA", at positions 35 to 154 of the family's 154-position model. The record is from RNAcentral.